Molecule: long non-coding RNA, 1622 nt
Organism: Oncorhynchus masou masou (cherry salmon)
Lineage: Eukaryota; Metazoa; Chordata; Actinopteri; Salmoniformes; Salmonidae
Exons: 2
Source: RefSeq, a predicted model, not a curated record
UCUGCUCUCUCCCUCUCUCCCUCCCUACCCCUGCCUUUCUCUCCUGCUCUUCAAUGUGAAAUAAGGCCACUAUAUAACCGCUUGAUCCAGCUUGGGACACCACCCACUCCUGCCUUUCCCCUCCUUACCCACAGGUGGCGCUGUACAGCAUGUAUGUGGCCUGUAUGGCUUUCCAUGCUAAAGUGAGUGACCCAGUGAUCGGUGGGACCUACAUGACCCUGCUGAACACGGUCACCAACCUGGGGGGAAACUGGCCCUCCACCCUGGCAUUGUGGAUGGUUGACCCACUCACCUCUAAGGAGUGCCAGGGAGCCGUCGGACAGAGCUGUGGCUCCUCAGAGGAGGCUGGGCUGUGUGUAAAGGAGGGCGGUGUGUGUGUGACGUCGUUGGAUGGUUACUAUGUGGAGUCGGUGGUGUGUGCGUUGAUAGGACUAAUGUGGUGGGUGUGGCUAGGGAAGAGGAUGAGAAGGCUACAGGACCAGAGCCCUGCAGCUUGGAGGUGCCGGAUCGGCCAAUGACAACGUUCACCCAGCUCCUGACCUGCACAACCCCUUUCCUGACUUCAGCAAGGCCAAUCGCCAGACAGCUACAGUCUGAUAUAAAAGCUUCCUCUCUUAUCUUUUCCUCUCGCUCACUUUCAGUUGGUCUAUGUUGGUCUGUCUCUGUCCCUCUCAGUCCCUCUCAGUCCCUCUCUGUCCCUCUCAGUCCCUCUCAGUCCCUCUCUGUCCCUCUCUGUCCCUCUCAGUCCCUCUCUGUCCCUCUCAGUCCCUCUCAGUCCCUCUCAGUCCCUCUCAGUCCCUCAUUAUCCCUCUCAGUCCCUCAUUGUCCCUCUCAGUCCCUCAUUGUCCCUCUCAGUCCCUCUUUCAACCUUCUCUGAUGGCUCUUAUCAGUCUCCAUUCUUCCCAACCUUCUCUGAUGACUCUUAUCAGUCUCCAUUCUUACCAACCUUCUCUGAUGACUCUUAUCAGUCUCCAUUCUCCCCAACCUUCUCUGAUGACUCUUAUCAGUCUCCAUUCUUCCCAACCUUCUCUGAUGACUCUUAUCAGUCUCCAUUCUUACCAACCUUCUCUGAUGACUCUUAUCAGUCUCCAUUCUUCCCAACCUUCUCUGAUGACUCUUAUCAGUCUCCAUUCUUACCAACCUUCUCUGAUGACUCUUAUCAGUCUCCAUUCUUACCAACCUUCUCUUUCUCUGCCUGUGUGUAUAUUGUCGUUCAGCACUUAUUUCUUUGAAAUACAUGUAGCUGUGGUCUGGCUACCACAUGACUAUGGACCAUAACAGUCAAUAACAACAGUCCACUUCCUGCUUGUACCAUCACGUCUUCACCGGGACUUCUGCCCCUUCAACUACUUUAUGUCCCAUUGGAAAGAAAACAGAGAAGGAACUAUUGUUCUUUUGCUCGGGAAUAUUUACAGCAGACAUUUACUCUGGGAAAUCGCUGAUCCUUCUUCUCCUUCCACAUUCUCGGUAUCUUAAACUAUUUCAUUAGGCUUGUCACUUGUCAUUAUUUGUGCCUUUGCUAGGUUCUUCAGACUGUCAUUAUAAAGUUGGAUGAUAUUUGAAAAGACUUUAAUCAAUGGUCAUCAAAAAGCACACCACAUUAAAUGUUGAGAUGUCGGCGA